CAGUCGCCGCGGGAAUACGUAGGUGGCAAGCGUUGUCCGGAAUUAUUGGGCGUAAAGCGCGCGCAGGCGGAUCAGUUAGUCUGUCUUAAAAGUUCGGGGCUUAACCCCGUGAGGGGAUGGAAACUGCUGAUCUAGAGUAUCGGAGAGGAAAGUGGAAUUCCUAGUGUAGCGGUGAAAUGCGUAGAUAUUAGGAAGAACACCAGUGGCGAAGGCGACUUUCUGGACGAAAACUGACGCUGAGGCGCGAAAGCCAGGGGAGCGAACGGGAUUAGAUACCCCCGUAGUCCCUGUCUCUUAUACA
Molecule: ribosomal RNA, 301 nt
Filed under: uncultured bacterium
Lineage: Bacteria
Description: partial 16S ribosomal RNA
Rfam family: Bacterial small subunit ribosomal RNA
Source: RNAcentral